GAUGAAGAACGUAGCGAAAUGCGAUAAGUAAUGUGAAUUGCAGAAUUCAGUGAAUCAUCGAAUCUUUGAACGCACAUUGCGCCCCCUGGUAUUCCGGGGGGCAUGCCUGUUCGAGCGUCAUUACAACCCUCAAGCUCUGCUUGGUAUUGGGCCCCGCCAGUUCUGGCGGGCCCUAAAGUCAGUGGCGGUGCCUUCCGGCUCCGAGCGUAGUAAUUCUUCUCGCUCUGGAGACCCGGUUGUGUGCUUGCCAACAACCCCCAAUUUUUUAAGGUUGACCUCGGAUCAGGUAGGGAUACCCGCUGAACUUAAGCAUAUCAAUAACGGAGG
Molecule: unclassified non-coding RNA, 327 nt
Filed under: soil metagenome
Description: partial contains 5.8S ribosomal RNA, internal transcribed spacer 2, and large subunit ribosomal RNA
Rfam family: 5.8S ribosomal RNA (bases 1-120)
Source: RNAcentral